GCCUGGGUGGCUCAGUCGGUUGAGCAUCUGACUUUGGCUCAGGUCAUGAUCUCACAGUUCGUGGGUUUGAGCCCCGCAUUGGGCU
Molecule: transfer RNA, 85 nt
Filed under: Felis catus (domestic cat)
Lineage: Eukaryota; Metazoa; Chordata; Mammalia; Carnivora; Felidae
Also listed under: 2 other names
Rfam family: tRNA
About the family: Transfer RNA (tRNA) molecules are approximately 80 nucleotides in length.
Source: Rfam by way of RNAcentral